This 502-nucleotide ribosomal RNA is filed under the name uncultured Gammaproteobacteria bacterium. RNAcentral's name for it is "bacterial SSU rRNA". It matches the Rfam family "Bacterial small subunit ribosomal RNA", at positions 324 to 818 of the family's 1533-position model. Lineage: Bacteria; Pseudomonadati; Pseudomonadota; Gammaproteobacteria. The record is from RNAcentral.
ACACGGUCCAGACUCCUACGGGAGGCAGCAGUGGGGAAUAUUGGACAAUGGGCGAAAGCCUGAUCCAGCCAUGCCGCGUGUGUGAAGAAGGUCUUCGGAUUGUAAAGCACUUUAAGUUGGGAGGAAGGGCCGUUACCUAAUACGUGAUGGUUUUGACGUUACCGACAGAAUAAGCACCGGCUAACUCUGUGCCAGCAGCCGCGGUAAUACAGAGGGUGCAAGCGUUAAUCGGGAUUACUGGGCGUAAAGCGCGCGUAGGUGGUUCGUUAAGUUGGAUGUGAAAUCCCCGGGCUCAACCUGGGAACUGCAUUCAAAACUGUCGAGCUAGAGUAUGGUAGAGGGUGGUGGAAUUUCCUGUGUAGCGGUGAAAUGCGUANAUAUAGGAAGGAACACCAGUGGCGAAGGCGACCACCUGGACUGAUACUGACACUGANGUGCGAAAGCGUGGGGAGCAAACAGGAUUAGAUACCCUGGUAGUCCACGCCGUAAACGAUGUCAACUA